UUCCUACGGGGGGCAGCAGUGGGGAAUAUUGCACAAUGGGGGAAACCCUGAUGCAGCAACGCCGCGUGAGUGAGGAAGUAUUUCGGUAUGUAAAGCUCUAUCAGCAGGGAAUAGAAAAGAAGGUACCUGAAAAAGAAGCCCCGGCUAACUACGUGCCAGCAGCCGCGGUAAUACGUAGGGGGCAAGCGUUAUCCGGAUUUACUGGGUGUAAAGGGAGCGUAGACGGCGGUGCAAGCCAGAUGUGAAAGCCCGGGGCUCAACCCCGGGACUGCAUUUGGAACUGUGCUGCUAGAGUGUCGGAGAGG
RNAcentral lists this ribosomal RNA (305 nucleotides) under uncultured bacterium. RNAcentral's name for it is "bacterial SSU rRNA". It matches the Rfam family "Bacterial small subunit ribosomal RNA", at positions 336 to 657 of the family's 1533-position model. The record is from RNAcentral.